GCUGGCGGCGUGCUUAACACAUGCAAGUCGAACGGUGAAGCCCACUUGCUGGGUGGAUCAGUGGCGAACGGGUGAGUAACACGUGAGCAACCUGCCCCUGACUCUGGGAUAAGCGCUGGAAACGGCGUCUAAUACUGGAUAUGUGACGUGACCGCAUGGUCUGCGUUUGGAAAGAUUUUUCGGUUGGGGAUGGGCUCGCGGCCUAUCAGCUUGUUGGUGAGGUAAUGGCUCACCAAGGCGUCGACGGGUAGCCGGCCUGAGAGGGUGACCGGCCACACUGGGACUGAGACACGGCCCAGACUCCUACGGGAGGCAGCAGUGGGGAAUAUUGCACAAUGGGCGGAAGCCUGAUGCAGCAACGCCGCGUGAGGGAUGACGGCCUUCGGGUUGUAAACCUCUUUUAGCAGGGAAGAAGCGUGAGUGACGGUACCUGCAGAAAAAGCACCGGCUAACUACGUGCCAGCAGCCGCGGUAAUACGUAGGGUGCAAGCGUUAUCCGGAAUUAUUGGGCGUAAAGAGCUCGUAGGCGGUUUGUCGCGUCUGCUGUGAAAUCUGGGGGCUCAACCCCCAGCCUGCAGUGGGUACGGGCAGACUAGAGUGCGGUAGGGGAGAUUGGAAUUCCUGGUGUAGCGGUGGAAUGCGCAGAUAUCAGGAGGAACACCGAUGGCGAAGGCAGAUCUCUGGGCCGUAACUGACGCUGAGGAGCGAAAGGGUGGGGGAGCAAACAGGCUUAGAUACCCUGGUAGUCCACCCCCGU
RNAcentral lists this ribosomal RNA (757 nucleotides) under uncultured earthworm cast bacterium. RNAcentral describes it as "bacterial SSU rRNA". It matches the Rfam family "Bacterial small subunit ribosomal RNA", at positions 35 to 804 of the family's 1533-position model. The record is from RNAcentral.